This 210-nucleotide ribosomal RNA is filed under the name uncultured bacterium. RNAcentral's name for it is "partial 16S ribosomal RNA". It matches the Rfam family "Bacterial small subunit ribosomal RNA", at positions 127 to 334 of the family's 1533-position model. The record is from RNAcentral.
UCGCCCAACGACCGGGACAACGUUCCGAAAGGAGCGCUAAUACCGGAUGUGCCCAUCGGGUGACAUCUCCUGAUGAGUAAAUCGCGCAAUCGGCUUUGGGAGGGGCUUGCGGCCUAUCAGCUAGAUGGUGGGGUAACGGCCUACCAUGGCGACGACGGGUAGCUGGUCUGAGAGGAUGGCCAGCCACAUUGGGACUGAGAGACGGCCCAG